Vicia faba (fava bean) is the source of this 447-nucleotide non-coding RNA. Lineage: Eukaryota; Viridiplantae; Streptophyta; Magnoliopsida; Fabales; Fabaceae. The record is from the annotation of a GenBank genome assembly.
AUGAAUCAGUUAUUCCAACCGUUGUUAAGGAAGUGCGUUCUAGUUUUCUUUGACGACAUACUAGUUUAUAGCCCUUCAUGGCAAUCACAUUUACAACAUGUAGAAACUGUGUUUCAGAUAUUAAGUCAGAAUGUGUUGUACGUGAAACUUUCUAAAUGUUCAUUUGGUUUAUCAGAAGUGGAGUAUCCGAGUCACAUAGUUUCUGGUGUUGGUGUCUCAAUGGAUAGAACAAAAGUUCAAGCAGUGUUAGAGUGGCAUACUCCAACGACUUUGAAACAAUUAAGAGGAUUUCUUGGGCUUAUCGAAUAUUAUAGAAGAUUUAUCAAGUUCUAUGCGACCAUAGUCGGUCCUCUCACCAUUAUUUUGAAGAAAGAUGCUUUUAAGUGGGAUGAAAAUACUCAAACAACUUUCGAGCAGUUAAAAAUGGCGAUCACUUCAGCACCUCUU